Molecule: long non-coding RNA, 7698 nt
Filed under: Ananas comosus (pineapple)
Lineage: Eukaryota; Viridiplantae; Streptophyta; Magnoliopsida; Poales; Bromeliaceae
Description: long non-coding RNA (ACOM_LNC010515)
Source: RNAcentral
UAAGAAUUUAUCCGGCACAAAAAUCGCAGCGGAAAAUAAAAUUGUAUUUUCGAAAACCAAAAAUCCAUAUCACAUAUGAACCAAAAUAAAACAAAUCAAUCCAGUGCCGGUGGAUCAUUCUCAUGUUGCAAUGUAAAAUAAAAUCUAACCUAAACAGAUUUAAAGUUCAUGUUACAUUACCUCGGACCAGUUAAGGUCUCUUGAUCUACUGUACGGUUGAAAUUGAGAUUCCGAUUAGCCGCGCACGUGCCCGGCCUCUACGUGUAUCCACACGGAAUUGAUCUAGAUCCAACGCCUUCCGUCGCACGGAACUGAUGAGCCGCAGAUUACCAAGACGGUGCUAGCAGUCUUGUAAUAUCCACGUUCCCUCUUGUGAGAUGUACUGAUUUUUAGAAGAUCUAAUAGAGACGGAUUAUAUUAUUUUUCUUUCUUCUUCUGAGCUUAUAAAAAAUUAUCCUCGCUUGUAUAGAUAUGUAUAUAUAUAUCUAUAUAUGUUAAUUAACUCCAUCCAUCAAGCAUAAUGUAUACGUGGGCAACAACUUAACUAAUUAAGCCGCAGCUCACGUACACCAUCUCAGCGUACAAAUUGGCACCCUCGCAAUCUGUUGCAACCAAUUAGAUCAUAUCCAAUUAGUUGCUAUACUAAUUUGAUCACAUCCAAUUAGUUGCUGCAUAGGAUAAUUAAACAGUAAAUUUAUGUUUAUCCAUAUGGAUAUUUUAUCUUUAUCCUUCUCUUUAAAUUAGAUCUUAUCCAUUAUAAUUAAAUAUUCAUACUUAAGUCUAAUCUCAUUAGAAUAUUAUUAUCUCAUAAUAAUUUGUGAAUAUUUAAUUAUUCUCUAAUCUAAUUAGAGAUUAAAUCUAUCGUAACAUUCAAAUUAUAAUUCUCACUAUUUUCACUAAACUAUUUAGUGUAUUAAUUAGACUCAUCUUAUCAAAUUGGAUGCACACAAUUCCCAUUGUGUGUGACCGCGUAGGUCCAUUAUCAUUCGGCAGUGGAAUUCAAUAUUAAACUCUUUAAUAUUGAAUUAGAACUCUUCUAAUCUAUGAAAUAAUUUAUUUUAAAUUAUUUCAGCUUCUCACUGUCCGUGAGUGACACCUAGCAGUAUAUCACGGUAAUCCAGAAUGAUGAUGAAAAAUGAACCUUUCCGCUAUCAGUUAUCGUGUGAUUAAUUCCUUCCAACACAACGUUCCGAUCGAACUAAAAUUAUGAUUACUCGCCAAAUCUUAUUAUUCGAUCAUAUGACUAGAAUAUCUAAAACUGACUCAAUAUGGUAACACAGCUGGAAACUCUUUCCACACACCACGUACCCUGGCCAAGGAUUUUUCGAGUCAAGUUCGACAGUCUACAUAGGACGUUCUCUCUCACUAUUGAGAGUGUUGAAUUCCUUAUUGCGCAUUCAUAUGCCUCCCUAUAUAAACUACUACAGCCAAUCAGUACCAGACAUAGACCAAUGAUUAGAGUCUAAGUAUUAGUACAGUUAAACAGUAGCAAUCUACAUGUGAAGCAACCAUGAUGCCUCAGGUCUAAGGAGUACUUCACACAACUGUAGCAAAGAACUAGUCACUGGCGAAUUCGGAACCAUGUGACUGUUCAACUAAAUGGUCACGCUCAGUGUACUUGUUCUCUAACAAGCACCUGCAUGCUUACUUUAGUGUCCCUACACUAAUGACUUGAGCUUCGUCACCUCAACUUAGAAGUAUAGCAUACACCGGCCUAUCCGGAAAUAUCAUCGUCCUUAUGAUAUUCCUAUGGCUAGGAGCAUUUAAGAAUCUUGUACAAAGAAAUAUAUAUCUCAAAUUCCUAACUCUUAGGAAUAUAUUUUCUUAACAAAGAUUCAAUGGACGAUUCAUAUAAAUGUAUUGUACUGCUAACAAUAAAUAUGAAUAAAGCUUGCCCUUUAUUAAUUAAGAAAAAUACUUAAUAUGUUCACUAGCCUGUGUCACCGAUUGGCUUUAGGGUAUAUCACUAACAAUCUCCCACUUACACUAAUGCAAAUCGCUCAUGUAUCUCAUACCCAUUCUUUCUAAAUGCACAUCCAGCUUUUGAAGUGUGAGCGGCUUAGUAAGGGGAUCCGCUAUAUUGUCUACGGAUGCUACUUUCUGCACAACAAUCUGACGCUCAUCUAUAAAUUGUCGGAUGAUGUGGUAGCGUCGAUCUAUAUGCUUGGACUUCUGGUGAGACCUCGGUUCUUUAGCUUGCGCUAUAGCUCCAUUAUUGUCACAGUAAAGUGGCAUUGGCUCCUCAAUAGAAGGCACCACUCCUAGUUCCGUGACGAAUUUUCGAAGCCAAACUGCCUCCUUUGAUGCCUCAGAUGCUGCAAUGUACUCUGCCUCAGUAGUGGAAUCUGCUGUUGUAUUCUGUUUGGAACUCUUCCAAAUGAUAGCCCCACCAUUCAAUAUGAAGACAUGCCCUGAUGUUGACUUUCUAUCAUCAACAUCUGACAUGAAGUCUGAAUCUGUGAAGCCUUCUAACGUUAGCUCAUUUCCACCAUACACUAGACACAAAUCCUUAGUUCUUCUCAAGUACUUAAAGAUAUUCUUCACAGCAGUCCAGUGCUCUUCACCUGGAUUAGACUGAUAUCUGCUCGUAACACUUACGGCAUGUGCGAUAUCUGGUCUUGUACAUAGCAUAGCGUACAUGAGACUUCCUAUUGCGGAAGCAUAGGGAAUUCUGCUCAUACGCUCUCUUUCCUCAGGUGUUUUAGGACACAUCAUCUUGGAAAGAUUAAUUCCAUGUCUAAGAGGAAGAAGACCCCUUUUGGAAUUUUCCAUGUUGAACCUCUUCAACACAUCUUCUAUGUACAUCUGCUGUGACAAACCGAUCAACCUCUUAGAUCUAUCUCUAUAGACCUUAAUGCCGAGGAUAUAGGCUGCCUCUCCUAGAUCUUUCAUCAAGAAAUUCUGGGACAACCAAACCUUGACAGAGGUCAUCAAACUUGCAUCAUUUCCGAUCAAUAGAAUGUCGUCCACGUACAAUACGAGAAAGACAAGUUGGCUCCCACUGGUCUUCUUGUAAACACAAGGUUCAUCUUGAUUUCUCAUGAAGCCAAACGUUUUGACUGCAUCAUUGAACCGUAUGUUCCAACUCCUCGAAGCCUGCUUCAAUCCAUAAAUGGAUCUCUGAAGCUUGCAUACUUUAUGUUUCUGGCUAUUGGACACAAAUCCCUCAGGCUGCUGCAUAUAUAUGUCCUCCUCUAUGAAUCCAUUGAGGAAAGCAGUUUUUACGUCCAUUUGCCAGAUCUCAUAAUCAUAGUAUGCGGCUAUGGCAAGUAAUGUUCGCAUGGAUUUAAGCAUGACCACAGGAGAGAACGUUUCUUUAUAGUCGAGACCUUCUCGUUGACUGUAGCCUUUUGCUACAAGUCUCGCCUUGUAUGUCUCUACUUUUCCAUCCACACCAAUCUUUUUCUUGAAAAUCCAUUUACAACCAAUAGGUACUAUACCUUCUGGCGGAUCAACAAGAGUCCAUACGUGAUUGGUAUACAUUGAGUCCAUUUCGGACUUCAUAGCUUCUUGCCAUUUUAUUGAGUCGAUGUCUAACAUCGCCUCUUCGUAACUAGUAGGAUCAUCCCUGCGAUCACUAUCGCCAAUGAGGAACAUUUCCUUUGUGCAUUCCAUAACGAAAUCUCGAUAUUUCUCUGGAGGUUGGGAUAUUCUACCAGAUCUUCGAGGUAAUUGUGUAAUAGUGGGUUCAGUUUGAAUAGCUUGUUCAAAUUGUUCUUGAGAAAUUGUUUGCUCAUUUGAGACCAUCUCUUUUAGCACUAUCUCGUUUCCGGCACCACCUUCUUGGAUAAACUCUUUUUCCAAAAAUAUUGCAUGUCGGCUAACAAUCACGUUUUGUUCACUUUGAAGAUAAAAAUAGUAUCCCAUAGACUCCUUGGGAUAACCAAUAAAUCUUCCUUUAUCCGACCUAGCCUCCAAUUUAUCUGUUUUAAGUUUUUUAACAAAAGCCGGGCAUCCCCAAAUCCUUAAAUGAUUGAGACCCAGUUUUUUGCCAAACCACAUCUCAUGCGGGGUACAAGGAACAGAUUUUGAAGGCACCCUGUUUAGAAUAUAGGCUGCGGUUAAUAGAGCAUAACCCCAAAGAAAUAAAGGUAAGUCUGUGAAGCUCAUCAUCGAUCGUACCAUAUCUAAUAAAGUACGAUUUCUUCUUUCUGAAACUCCAUUCAAUUCCGGAGUUCCAGGAGGUGUCUAUUGUGAGAGAAUACCGUUUUCUCUGAGAUAAUUUAAAAAUUCAGUACUAAGGUAUUCGCCUCCUCGAUCUGAUCGAAGAGCCUUAAUACUUUUUCCUGUUUGCUUCUCUACUUCAUGUCUGAAUUCUUUGAACUUUUCAAAGGUUUCAGACUUGUGUUUCAUAAGAAACACAAACCCAUACCGUGAAUAAUCAUCGGUAAAAGUCACAAAGUAAAGAUAACCACCCCGAGCCGUUUCACUAAACGGUCCACACUCAUCCGAGUGUAUAAGGGCAAGUAACUCUGUGGCUCGCUCUCUUUGUCCAACAAAGGGUGACUUGGCCAUUUUGCCUUGAAGACAAGACUCACAAACUGGAUAGGAUUCUAAAACACAAGUUCGCAAGUGCCCAUCCUUGGCCAGUCGGUUUAUCCUAUCUUCUUCAAUGUGACCUAGUCGUAGGUGCCAUAGAUACUUUUGGUUCAGACUAUUAUCUCUAGGUCUCUUCUCUUUAUGUUCAAUAUUAGCAACAUUUCCAUCCAGAUUUAGAAAGUAGAGAUUGUUAACUAAACUACCAGUAGCUAUCAAUUUAUUUUGGAAAUAAAUAAAACAACCAUUAGUUUCAAAAAUAAAACGAUAACCAGUUCGUACUAAAGUUGUAACCGAAAUCAAAUUCCUAACAACUAAAGAAGAAUAAUAACAAUUCUCUAAUUCUAAAAUAUGUCCAGAUGGAAGUCUCAAAGAACAGCUCCCUACGGCUAACACAGCAACACUUGCUCCAUUUCCCACACGCAGGGUCACCUCGCCGUCCUUCAGUGUUCUACUUCCCUUUAGAUCCUGCAAUGAAUUACAAAGAUGUAAGGUGCAUGCAGAAUCUAAUACCCAAGAAGAAGUAGAGCCAAUCAUAUUGGCCUCAACGAUGAGCAUUUCGUUCGUACCUUCAGAAGGCCCCUCCUUCAAUUUUUCUUUUAGGCUAGAAAGAUAUUCUUUACAAUUUCUCUUCCAAUGCCCAUCCUUACCGCAAUGGAAACAUUUUCCUUUAGCCUUGCCAUUGUCGGAUUUCUUGAAAUUUGCUUUCUUCACUCCACCCGAUGACUUGAACUUAGGAAACUUUUUCUUUCCUUUGAACUUUCCUUUUGAAGCUCUUUCAACCGCCAUCGCCAUCCCGUUUGUCUUCAAUGUGCCUUCCGCUGUGAUUAGCAUAUUCAUAAGCUCGGACAAAGUGGCAUGAAUCCUAUUCAUGUUGAAGUUCAUAACAAAAUGAGAGAACGAUUCUGGCAAAGACUGUAGAACUAGAUCGAUCUGCAAGUCCGCGUCCAAGUUCAAGCCGAGAUUUUUCAGCUGCUCCAUGUCGUCAAUCAUUUUGAGACAAUGUUCACUGACCGACGUGCCUGGAGUCAUCUGAGCUUUAAACAAUCGCUUUGAUAUCUCAUAUCUUGCGGUUCGGCUUUGUGCACCAUACAACUCUUGUAAGUGCGCAAGCAUCUCAUAUGCUCGAGUAUAGUUCUCAUGCUGCCGUUGCAGCUCAUUCGACAUAGAGGCCAGCAUGUAAUAUUUAACACGCUGGUCAUCAUCAACCCACAUGUCUCUCUCCUCAACUUCUUCAGUUGUGGCUUCAGCGGUAAGCUCGGGAAUUGGAGCUUGAAGAACAUAAUCAAGCUUUUCAAUACCUAAAACAAUUUUUAGGUUACGAAGCCAGUCUUGGAAAUUAGGGCCGGUUAAUCGGUUAGAUUCCAUUAUGCGAGAAAGAGGGUUAGAGGCAUUCAUUUUGUCUGCAGAAAGUAGAGAUUUUAGUUAGAUAAGUAAUUUUUUCUUUUUAACCAAUUAAACCAGGGUCUAUUAGUUUAAAAGGUUCCUCCCACUAAUUUUAUCGAAUUUCUACACUCCCUAAGUAGAAAGACGGAAAUCCUCAUCCGUUAGAUUUCUUAGUGGCGAUUGGGGUUUCAUAAAUUACGACUCACCUCACCGGACAGUUUCUUGGAAAACCGUAAUUUAAUGAACGGGUAACAUCUUACCUCGACACAUCUUAUGUGCAAUCCAAUCGUCCUUUGGCCUCUAAGAUUUUUACGCCUCACCGGACGGUUUCUUGGCGCAACAACCUCAGUUAAGUCUAAUCCUCCUCUCCUACAAAUAUGGAAUUAUCAAAAGACCCUCACCGGACGGUUUCUUGGAUCCAUUGAUAAUGCCAUAUUGUAGCAUCUUAUGUCAAGAUGUUCGCAUAGUUCAAACACAAGUAGCCCCAUGGGACCAUGCGUGACUACUCAAUGCUGAAACAAUGCUACAUCUUGUGAUCGGUGGAAGGCCACGAUAGAGCAUCAAAUGCCCCUUCGUUUCAACUUAAUAUUUUAUAGAGAGUUUUAAAAUUAUAUAUCGGUCUCAUCAUCACAUGUUAUAUCUCAUAUAAAAUUAAUCACAUGUAUCACAUACACAAAAAUAAAUUGCAUAGUUUAGGGAUGAUCAUGGACUUUUCUGAUUCGACUCGAGCCGAUGAGUCAAAUCGGUCUAUAGGGUGAUACACACAUAUUCUCAACAAUUGCAAAUAUUAAGCCCUCUUCUUCUGUUGGAUUUGAUACAUCCUUUGAUGCCAUCACGAUUUGCGACGCCAAUCCAUCAACGCUUGAUGUGGAUUCUUCUCCAAAUAAUCCUAAUUUUAUCUAAUAAAAAUACAAGGAUUCGUAGAUCCCAAUAAAAUGGCACGCAGGCCCUUCGUGAUAAAAAAAUAUAUACAACCAUAAUUAAAUUACAAAUACACCCAUAAUCAAAUUACAAAUACAUCCAUAAUCACAUUACAAAUACAUCCAUAAUCACAUCACAGAAGUCUAAGGUCCAUGAUCAUCACCCAUCUAAAAACUAUGCAGAAAAUAAUAACCAAAUCGAUCUAAUCAUCGAUUAAAAAAUUAGAACUCAAUAAUAUGUUUUUCUCAUGUCUCCACGUAUUUAUUUUAUGGUGUGAAACCAAUAAAUCACACUACGUGCAACUUAAGAAAAACAAUAUCGAUCUCAUCGAAAACAGUUCCAAAAUUUCAAUCAAACCAUACAGAUCGUAAAUAUUUUACAUAGAACAUGAGAAUCGGCUCUGAUACCACUGUAAGAAUUUAUCCGGCACAAAAAAUCGCAGCGGAAAAUAAAAUUGUAUUUUCGAAAAACAAAAAUCCAUAUCACAUAUGAACCAAAAUAAAACAAAUCAAUCCAGUGCCGGUGGAUCAUUCUCAUGUUGCAAUGUAAAAUAAAAUCUAACCUAAACAGAUUUAAAGUUCAUGUUACAUUACCUCGGACCAGUUAAGGUCUCUUGAUCUACUGUACGGUUGAAAUUGAGAUUCCGAUUAGCCGCGCACGUGCCCGGCCUCUACGUGUAUCCACACGGAAUUGAUCUAGAUCCAACGCCUUCCGUCGCACGGAACUGAUGAGCCGCAGAUUACCAAGACGGUGCUAGCAGUCUUGUAAUAUCCACGUUCCCUCUUGUGAGAUGUACUGAUUUUCAGAAGAUCUAAUAGAGACGGAUAAUUAUAUUAUUUUUCUUUCUUCUUCUGA